This is a long non-coding RNA of Choloepus didactylus (southern two-toed sloth), 3621 nucleotides long. RefSeq lists it as uncharacterized. The record is from RefSeq and is a predicted model, not a curated record. Lineage: Eukaryota; Metazoa; Chordata; Mammalia; Pilosa; Megalonychidae. The transcript has 2 exons.
CAGAAGGCAGCUGGGUGGCAGGCUUCUCCGCGGAUCGUGCAGGGCACGCCAGCCCCUUCCAGGAAGGCUGAACACUGGGUGGGUACCUGUGGCCAUGCUGGGCCAGCAGGUGUUCCAUGAAAAUUGAGGGGGAACAGGCCCAGGGUUCUCCAGACGGCCAUACUCUGGGCCCUUGCUUUUGGUGACAUAAGCAACUCCCCCUUGCCCCAGAAUAAUAAAGGGUACAGGAAAAAUAUAUUUUCACCUGCCAACUGACCUUUUUCCUUUAAUUAGAUGAUUACCUGAUGUGAAGGGCAAAUAGUUUAAUGGGUUCUUUGGGAUAUAGUGCUGGUCUCCCUAAUUUGAGUGAUUUAGAAGAACAAACAAACAUUGAUGAGGCAAUCCUUUUAUUUUGCAGUGAGCAGAGUUCAAGAAACAUGGAGAAGUCUGGAAUUCAAUAUUAACUUAAAACUGCCUUUCCAUGCUCCCUUAUCUCUGCUCACCACAAAAUAAAAGGAUCACCUUAUCCAUGUCUGUAGAAGAGGCUAAACUGUAUAGAAUGAGGGUAAAAAUGGGAGAAAGAUUUAUUAGGUAAAGGCAAAGAAAUCAGAUCUUUGUGUGGGGGAGGUCUGGGUAAGAUAAAACCAAGAGAAAACUCAACCUUUUUGAGGUUCUGGAGGGUUAGUCUCUGGUAGAGGAUGGGUUCUUGACAGCCUGAACAGGAGGGCACCUUGCAGAAAUCUCUAGUCCUCGGCCGAUUAGCAUAGUCAGCUCCCCCACCCCGAAGAGACAUAGCCGGAGUUUCUGUUGCUUUGACCACCCGGAGGGGAAGAAGUUUGGGUUGCUGCAGUAGGCACUGUCAACAUGGUACCCACAACCCCCCCAAGGCCCUGUCCUCAGAUGUGCCGUGGGCUGCCCUGCUGGCUCCUGCGUGCCUCGGCCUGAAGAUCCUUGGGAAAUGCUGGGAAGUUAACCACCCUCAACCAAUUUCAGGUGGAGUUUGAUGGCUAGAUGACCCUUCAGGACGCAUCUGAGGCAGGUUCUGCAUCGCCUCCCAGAGGCCCCGGUGGGACUGACCCCCACUGCCCUCAACGGCGUUCUGCUCAACAUGCCCAUUCUGGCUUCCUUCCUUUCCCUCUCUUACUCCCCCACUUCCUUGUUGGUACUUCUGGAAUCAUCUCCCUAUAACCACUUGCACGUGAAUCCUUGUUUCAAGAUCUGCUUCCAGGGGAGACCAAACUUAAGAUACUUGAGACCUCACUUCUGCCUUCAUCUUGGGCCUGGAGUUGGUCUCUCAGAGGUCACCCAGUGGCUGAAUGGCCCAUCCCAGUGUCCUCUUCGCCCAUGUGUUCCUUGAGAAUCUCCACCAUUAGCACAUCUUUCUGUACUAGUUAGAGUUUCGGGUAGCAAGGAAGCGAUGGAGCCAGGCAACUGUGUAACGAGGGGCAUGAAGACUAAGCAACAGCUGAGCGGUCACUGACCCCUCACGUCCUGGAACUAGAGCUGGCCUCACAUGGGUCCAGAAUGAAGGCUCUCGUUCUCUCCGGCCCCAACCCCAAGGCCGGAGACUUGGUCUUUUCCCAUCAGAAAGGAGCUCCCAGCUGCUCUGAGUGCAGUUCACAUUCCUGUCUCCAAGCAGGGGAAUCUGGUUGGAUCUGGGAGGUGCCUCCAGCCGGGAGAAGGCCCCUUGGUCAGGCUCUGGAUCCAAACCACUGAAAGGCGUCAGCCUACAGGGGUGCUUUAGGCUUGGGCACGCAGGACCCAGGGGCACACAGCACAGACCCAGGGAGUGACAACUGCACCCACGAAGAGCUGCUCUCACUCCUCCAGAGGCUGUGCAGGUGGAGGUGCUUAGAGCCUCGUGGCCUAAACAUAUUCUACUCUGAAUUUCACCCUGCCUUACUGUACCCUGAAUCCCACCUCAUUCUCUACCUCUCCUGUAGGUUGAGAUGGCCACUGUCCCACGUUCUAGUCUGGUGGAAUCAGGGUCUUUCUUCCCUCUAGUAAGAGGCAAUGAUGUCCCUCCAGCCUCCAGUGCACUCUGGGACAUCAAGCAGCUGCUCCUAGAGCCAUUAGGUGACUCGGCUGCACUUUCUAAAGUCCACCUACCCCGAAGCAAAUCCCAGAGAAGCAAUACUUUAAUUCCUGGUGUCAAAGGUCUUGCAGGACCACGGGGUACCCAUGAGAAGGCUGCUCCAAGUCAGGGAGACCGGGUUUCACUGUAAUGAGCUGUCGGGUAGAGGUUGGAGUUGGAAAUGAAGAGUCUCUAAGCCAGUAGACUCCAGAGCCAAAAGUGUUGUCCAUGAAUCCUCCCCAUGUUUCUUGAGAACCUUUUGCACAGAAGGAAACAGAUGGAGGACAGAAUACAGCUCCACAGAGGGAUGGCGCUCAAAGCAGAAAACGCCAAAGGGAGUAGCCACUGUCAACCUGGCAGGGAGGGCUGGCAGUGCUGGGCAGUCUCCUGGGUUGCUGACUCCCUGAUGGCAGAUUUAUGUGCAGAGCCAGAAGAAGUCUUAGCAUUAUUUUGCACCAGCUCCCUCUCCAAAUUUUCCAGAUGAGGAACCUCAGAUCCAGAGAGGGAAAGAAUUUGCCACAGAUCGCACAGCAGAUCUUCCCGCUCCCAUUUCAACACUCUUUCCACAAAGAUACCCUGCUGGAGAGAUGGAGCAAGUGCUAAACUUACCUAUUUUUAAACUUAAGACCACCUGACUUCAAUAAAUAUUUUAAGACACAAACUACAAGAAGCCUGUUCCAGAAAUCAGAAGAUGGCUUGUGCCCAUGUGCAACCUUGGACAAAUUGGUUAUUUAAGCUCUCUGAGCCUCUGUUUCCCCACUGGCUAAAAAACAUUAUAAUAAAGGAUAUACCUGUCCUCCCUAAUCCAAAGGGAGUCACAAGGAAGUAAUUAAUGCACUGAACCAUUUGGAAAUGGUGGAGCUGAACUCAUGGUGGGAAUGCCAUCACACACAUCUUUUCAUGGUAAAGGACCUCAGUAAGGCGAGGGAGGUGGUGAGUCAAACAUUCAGAGAAUGAGCAACGAUGGGAGGUGAAAGGCAUUGGGGUAGAACAGGAGGAAGCCAGAGGGACAGCCCCAGGUGAGGCUCUGAGGUGAGUUGGGGAAUCAAGGGAAAGAACUAGAAAGCCAUCCAAUGGAGACUUUCUUGGCAAUGGAAUUAUUCCACGUCUGUACUCUAAUAUGAUAGCCACCAGUCAUAUGUGGUUGUUGGUGCUUGAAGUGUGGCUAGUGUGACUGAGGAACUAGUUUUUAAAUUUUUAUCUAAUUUUUAUUAAUUUAAAUUGAAAUAACCACAUGUGGCCAGUGGGUACCCUACUAGACAGCACAGGCCUAAGACGACCCCACACGUUGCUUUGCAGCUGUCAAAGGAAAAGUAUGUGUCAUCCCUUCUCACCUCCCUUUAAAAUGCUAAUUAGCAUCACUGCGGUUAAUUACCAUUCAUAGCUCUUCAGCUGCUCUUAUGAAACGUUCAGUUCACCCUGGAACAAAUAGCCACAGUGGCAAGGGCUGGGGAAUGGGGUGGACUGGGGAAAGUAUAUUUAUCCCUUUGCACACUCUUUCUCUUCUCAAUCUGAAUGCUUCAGGCUGGAUAAAAUCCUAUAAAUAAAAAAGAGAGGCUUUUAAAAAA